GCUGGUGGAGAGACCAGGUGAUUUUCUGGGUGGUGCGACGGGUGUAGAUUUUGAAGGUUUCGUGUCUUGAACGAUGACACUUGUGUCAGCUUCAUUUCAUUGGCGUAGAGGUCAAGGCGUCCAAACUGUUUUUCAGAGGUGAGGAGAGAUGUUUCUAUUGGGGGAGUAGAAGAUCAGCCACAUGACUUUUACAGAUCUGGUCUGAGGUCUGUGUUUUGAACAGCAACAAAAGUUCUAUUUCCAUUCCAUGACCCAAUCUGGGGUCACUGCCCACCUUUUGAAAACCUUUUUUGUGCUCCUAAACAAAGAUGUUUGUGGCGGCUGAUACUGUAGCUGUGCUGCUAGCAGAUGUGCUUCAGCUCUGUUUGCAUGUUGUUUCUCUCCCUCAGAUUUACACCCAACAACUCUCCACUGCACCACGACUUUUCUAAAUUCUGCCGUUGUCUCCGGCUAUUGUUUAUUACUGUGCUACUUGCGAUUAUUGGAUCAACAAAUGCUGCAGUGUUGUACUUAUUGUCGGUCGCUGUGGCUCAGGGCUCGGCUUUAAUGGCCAGAUUGUUAUACUAAAUUGUAGCUGACACCUUUAUGUCCAGCCGUCCUAUCCCGGCCAGUCCUGCCCUCGAACGAUGUGAAUGAACUUUUCUGAACUUUGCCUUCUCUCUCCUCUCUAAAGGCCUGUCUGCUUCCUUCCAUUGUUCACCAUCACCCAGUGGAGACCGAACUUUACACGGCCAAGGACAUUUUUGUCUACAUUCGGGACCAUUGUAGUGAAUUUACAACAUGGUGCUGAAAGAGGAGGCGGGCCUGACCCAAGGUCAAGUAAGACGGAGAAAUAAUCUGACAGAGAGAACGUCAGUGUGUUUAAUCACACACACAGUGAAGCAGCUCUUUAAUGUGAAUGGGCAGCUGUUUGGUUUGAUGACGGCCCUCAGUGAGUGGCUUUGGCUCAAAGCAUCUGUGGUGAAGAAGUCAAUGAAAGUCAAUGAGACUGUUAAUUCCUCAAACUGUGUUUGCACAGCGUCUGCUGACCCCGCGGCCCCUCUGUGGAGCCUAGUGAGCGGCCAAUAAGAGAUGCUAAUGGCUUCGUUAGCGUGCUUGUUAGUGCCUGGAUGUGAUUAUUCAUAAUUUGAGAGACUGUUGACAAGGUCAGCAGGUCAAGUAGAGUUGAGCACCCUGGGAGAUGUUCCUCCUUAUCUCCUUACCUCGGAUCAACCUUUACCUCCUUCUCCUGGUGGAGUGGCGAUACCUGCGUGUUAAAAGUGGAUCAUUCACAAGGACUGGCCUGGAUCUUUGAACUGUAGACCACGAAGACAGAGUUUUCAAACAUUUGGACAAACACACCCAUGUGUGUGUUUGUUUGUGUAUGGACCCAGAUCGUCAGCACUGAUUGGACGUGCCACUGUGAUGGACUGUUUCUGCGGUCAGAUGCUACAGGUGAUGUCACUGUUCAAUGUUUUUAAAUAUUAACAACAACAUUGCUAUUUUUAUCAUUAACAUACCAAUUAUCACUCACAGUCUGUGUGGCUAGAGUAAUCAGUGAUGUCAUGAGCUGGCAUUUCUUCAGCCAAUGGUAAUAAAGCAGGGACGUUUCUCAGAAACCCGCAGGUCACAGAUAUGAGAUCAGUGACACAAACGGCAGAGACGGCUCCUGUUUUUCCAGGUAGUGCAACAGGCUUCACAGAACAAAGCUGUCAUUUUCGUUCCUCCUAGUAGUGCAGAUUCAGUAGAGACAUUACGGUUGGUUGGUGUGACCAAGAGCCAACAUGUUUGUCUGCCUGGGAUUGGCUGCUGACUUCCUGACAUUGUUCCUC
This is a long non-coding RNA of Cynoglossus semilaevis (tongue sole), 1811 nucleotides long. RefSeq lists it as uncharacterized. NCBI's taxonomy places the organism in Eukaryota, Metazoa, Chordata, Actinopteri, Pleuronectiformes, Cynoglossidae. The transcript is spliced from 3 exons. The record is from RefSeq and is a predicted model, not a curated record.